AGGGAGUCUGCCGAAAAUCCUUAACAGAGUAGGCG
Molecule: non-coding RNA, 35 nt
Submitted as: unclassified sequences
Source: Rfam